UGGCGGACGGGGUGAGUAAUGUCUGGGAAACUGCCUGAUGGAGGGGGAUAACUACUGGAAACGGUAGCUAAUACCGCAUAACGUCGCAAGACCAAAGAGGGGGACCUUAGGGCCUCUUGCCAUCGGAUGUGCCCAGAUGGGAUUAGCUUGUUGGUGGGGUAACGGCUCACCAAGGCGACGAUCCCUAGCUGGUCUGAGAGGAUGACCAGCCACACUGGGACUGAGACACGGUCCAG
RNAcentral lists this ribosomal RNA (236 nucleotides) under uncultured bacterium. RNAcentral's name for it is "partial 16S ribosomal RNA". It matches the Rfam family "Bacterial small subunit ribosomal RNA", at positions 96 to 334 of the family's 1533-position model. The record is from RNAcentral.